Long non-coding RNA from Eriocheir sinensis (Chinese mitten crab), 4329 nucleotides. RefSeq lists it as uncharacterized. The record is from RefSeq and is a predicted model, not a curated record. The transcript has 6 exons. NCBI's taxonomy places the organism in Eukaryota, Metazoa, Arthropoda, Malacostraca, Decapoda, Varunidae.
CUUGACCACUGCAUGCCUCCCUGGUGAAGUGUUGAGAGUGAAUUUAAGCCAUGACUAUCCAGGCUUGGGUCUGGAUUCCCGAGUGAACAGUUUGGGCACAGCUGUUCAUCACCUCUUUCAGGUGGGUCAAUAAAUAGGUACCCGGGGAAGGUAAACUGGUAACCAAGGUGCUGCACUUGCCGUGUGUACCCAGGGUAAUGAGUUCUCUCUCAUCACAGGCUCAAAAGCUAAUGAGAGGUGAGCAAUGAUGCCGAGUGGUCAGCGUGUGGGCAUGGUAAGCCCGUGGUUCGAGUCCCACAAAAACACGCUGAUUUUUCAAGCCAUCGCCGAGUGGCAGAAGAUUACCCACAUGCUGCCCAGAUCCGCAGUCAACCCUAACUUCAGCGAGUUCGUUCAAGUGGAGCACUGGGGGGCAGCAUGGGCCAAGCAGUCAUACAUCAUGGCAGCCACUAUAAAUAGAAUUCGCCUGUGCCACUAUUGGGAUGAGACUGUCCAAGAUGCUUCUCAAAAGAGCCCUCCAGAACUACAGGCAGCACCUAAAAAAAAUUAAAAAAUUAAAAAAAAAAUAAAUAAAUAAAAAAAUAAAUUCUCAUCCCUUACAAUACUUUAUCAUUCACAACUCUCCCUGAAGCACCUGUUAUCUGUCUGUUUUUCUCUGCUUUUGCUCUCGUGAUGGAGGGUGCCAUGUGAAGCUCUCCAGAGAUAACAGUGGUGACAGCAUCAUGUUCUUCAGUGAUGUUGGGCAGUGAUGGAGGGUGCCAUGUGAAGCUCUCCAGAGAUAACAGUGGUGACAGCAUCAUGUUCUUCAGUGAUGUUGGGCAGUGAUGGAGGGUGCCAUGUGAAGCUCUCCAGAGAUAACAGUGGUGACAGCAUCAUGUUCUUCAGUGAUGGCGGGCAGUGAUGGAGGGUGCCAUGUGAAGCUCUCCACAGAUAACAGUGGUGACAGCACCAUGUUCUUCAGUGAUGGCGGGCAGUGAUGGAGGGUGCCAUGUGAAGCUCUCCAGAGAUAACAGUGGUGACAGCACCAUGUUCUUCAGUGAUGUUGGGCAGUGAUGGAGGGUGCCAUGUGAAGCUCUCCACAGAUAACAGUGGUGACAGCACCAUGUUCUUCAGUGAUGGCGGGCAGUGAUGGAGGGUGCCAUGUGAAGCUCUCCACAGAUAACAGUGGUGACAGCACCAUGUUCUUCAGUGAUGGCGGGCAGUGAUGGAGGGUGCCAUGUGAAGCUCUCCACAGAUAACAGUGGUGACAGCACCAUGUUCUUCAGUGAUGUUGGGCAGUGAUGGAGGGUGCCAUGUGAAGCUCUCCACAGAUAACAGUGGUGACAGCACCAUGUUCUUCAGUGAUGUUGGGCAGUGAUGGAGGGUGCCAUGUGAAGCUCUCCACAGAUAACAGUGGUGACAGCACCAUGUUCUUCAGUGAUGGCGGGCAGUGAUGGAGGGUGCCAUGUGAAGCUCUCCACAGAUAACAUGGUGACAGCACCAUGUUCUUCAGUGAUGGCGGGGGCCCUCACCAGUCUUCUUCAUUAAGCUUCUGUCUUCCUGCUUCAGGCUGCAAUCAAACAGUUGUUUAGUACCACAUUAAUAUGUUUGGGGCAGACUGAAUUAUAGCUAACAUAGUAUACUGUUUGAUUGAAUAUUUGAAAGAAUCAAACCUAAACUAACAUACUGUUUGAUUGAAUAUUUGAAAGAAUCAAACCUAAACUAACAUACUGUUUGAUUGAAUAUUUGAAAGAAUCAAACCUAAACUAACAUACUGUUUGAUUGAAUAUUUGAAAGAAUCAAACCUAAACUAACAUACUGUUUGAUUGAAUAUUUGAAAGAAUCAAACCUAAACUAACAUACUGUUUGAUUGAAUAUUUGAAAGAAUCAAACCUAAACUAACAUACUGUUUGAUUGAAUAUUUGAAAGAAUCAAACCUAAACUAACCAGGUUACCCCAUUCCCAAGCUUGCAGGGUAGGCACUGACAAAGGUAGAUUGAAAAACAGAACUGUAUUACUAACCUAAAUGAAUGUAUUAUUCUAGUGUUUGUGUUAGAGAUAGGUUUACUGUUCAACAGGAUGAGGUAGGGUUGUUAAGUUUGAAAAUGGCUCUUAAUGAAGCAGUAAUAGGUUACUAUUUUGUCUGUGAUUGUUAAAUUAUUAGCAUGUGUAAAAGCUACAACUGCUAUAUGCUACAUAGUAAUAUUCUAUGUAUCUAUAUAUCUUUCCCUUUGCCCUAAUUAAAGGUUAAAUUCAAUAUCAAUGAAAAAUUUCUGCUCUUAUAAAUUGUCAAGAUGAGUUGUAGCCUAUUCCUAACUGAUCAGAAUUAGUUUGCAUCCUGAGAACACGUGAUUGAUGUAGUAUUUGUUUCAAUAGGCUAGAAAUUUAUCAUUUAAAUCAACACAAGGUUAUGUUAGCCAGUCAUUCAUUACAUAUGUUUUUCUUUAGUUUGAGACAAGGUUAUGUUAGCCAGUCAUUCAUUACAUAUGUUUUUCUUUAGUUUGAGACAAGGUUAUGUUAGCCAGUCAUUCAUUACAUAUGUUUUUCUUUAGUUUGAGACAAGGUUAUGUUAGCCAGUCAUUCAUUACAUAUGUUUUUCUUUAGUUUGACACAAGGUUAUGUUAGCCAGUCAUUCAUUACAAAUGUUUUUCUUUAGUUUGAGACAAGGUUAUGUUAGCCAGUCAUUCAUUACAUGUGUUUUUCUUUAGUUUGAGACAAGGUUAUGUUAGCCAGUCAUUCAUUACAUAUGUUUUUCUUUAGUUUGACACAAGGUUAUGUUAGCCAGUCAUUCAUUACAUAUGUUUUUCUUUAGUUUGACACAAGGUUAUGUUAGCCAGUCAUUCAUUACACAUGUUUUUCUUUAGUUUGAGACAAGGUUAUGUUAGCCAGUCAUUCAUUACACAUGUUUUUCUUUAGUUUGAGACAAGGUUAUGUUAGCCAGUCAUUCAUUACACAUGUUUUUCUUUAGUUUGAGACAAGGUUAUGUUAGCCAGUCAUUCAUUACAUUCAUUUGAGUAGCUUCCAUAACCUUCUCUCGAUGGACAGAAGUGACAAAACAAAUGACUAACAUAACCUGGUCUCAGUGUUACAAAGGGCAGAGCAAGUUAAUAGUGACAGAAAUAAACAUUACAAAAGAUUUAGCAACCGAAGGGACAGGAGUACGCAUUGCUACAGAUGACACAGUAACCCAAGUGUGAUAGGGAUUGUAAUGUUACGGAAGAUAUGGUGACGUAAGUGACGAGGACCGAGCGUUACAGACAGCGUAGUGACUUAAGCAUGACAGGGAUUGUAGAAAGAUUGUGGAAUGAUUGUAUAAAAAAAGAUACAGUAACUCAGCAGUGACAUAGAUACGUAAUGUUACUGAGGACAUGGUAACUUACGUAUGAUGAGGAUCGUAAUGUUGCAGAUGAACUAACAAUAAUUUAAGUGUCAGAAUUCAUCAUGUUACAAAUGGCAUAUUAAUUUUAGUGGCAUGGAUCAGAAUGUUACAAAAUAUAUACGUAUAUUAAGUGGCACGGAUCGUAAUGUUACAAGAUACAUGGUACCCACACCGAUAUGUAUACGUAAUGUUAAAUGACAUAGUAACUUAAAUUAAAUGGAUAUAUUACGCUAAAAAAGCUUAGUAGCCAAAGUGACAUGUAUACGUAAUGUUACAAAUGGCAUAGUAACAAAUAAAAUGGAUACGUAAUGUUAACAAGACUUACUAACCGCAGUGAAUGAAUGCGUAAUGUUAACAAAACUUAGUAACCAAAGUGACAUAUACAUAAUGUUAGGGAUGACACAGUAACUUAAAUAUAAUGGUUAGUAAUGUUAACAAGACUUAGUAACCAAAGUGACAUAUACGUAAUGUUAGGGAUGACACAGUAACUUAAAUAUAAUGGCUAGUAAUGUUCAUAGCUGGGUGUUAUCGCGAUAAGUUAUCGUGAUACUUUAUCGCUGAUAACAAAAUCGGGUUAUCAGCCAUCCGUUACUUAAUUAUUUAAAUAUAUAUCAGUAUCUUCGUUACUUUUGUAGCCAAACUUGCGAUAAUCGCUACUUUUUUCCGCCUCAGGAAAAAAAAAGUCUCCUCCCUACUGCGCAUGCGUGGCCCGGGUGCCCGGUGUUGUAUGAAAAAACUUCGGGGUAUGAAAUAUCUUCGGUGAAGAGAUUUCAUACUUAGAUCAUUAACAUUGAAACACUAGGUUAUUUUUUAUGUUAGACUAAAAAAUCAGAGAGAAAAAUCAUUUAACUUUGCCCCAAAAAUGAUUAUUCACUGCCUCAAAUUUGAUGUUCCAUAUUCGUUUGUGAGCAUGCCAUGGUAUUAUUAAAGGCACCCGGUGUUGUGUUAUUUGAUGUCCCAUCGUCAAAAGC